This 265-nucleotide ribosomal RNA is filed under the name uncultured Atopobium sp. Its description in RNAcentral is "partial 16S ribosomal RNA". It matches the Rfam family "Bacterial small subunit ribosomal RNA", at positions 91 to 354 of the family's 1533-position model. The record is from RNAcentral. Lineage: Bacteria; Bacillati; Actinomycetota; Coriobacteriia; Coriobacteriales; Atopobiaceae.
UAAAGUGGCGAACGGCUGAGUAACACGUGGGCAACCUGCCCUUUGCACUGGGAUAGCCUCGGGAAACCGAGGUUAAUACCGGAUACUCCAUAUUUGUCGCAUGGCGAAUAUGGGAAAGCUCCGGCGGCAAAGGAUGGGCCCGCGGCCUGUUAGCUAGUUGGUGGGGUAGUGGCCUACCAAGGCAAUGAUGGGUAGCCGGGUUGAGAGACCGACCGGCCAGAUUGGGACUGAGACACGGCCCAGACUCCUACGGGAGGCAGCAGGC